AUGAAACAUGGUGAGGGAUGGAGUGAUGAGUUAAUGAUCCCUCCCCGCCUCCGACUGCGGGAGGAGCCCCGGGAUGAAGGGCACGCCGUACUUGGGGAUGAACUGCUCGCCCUGGAUGAAGGCUUCGACGGUGUACUCCUUCUGCGCGUCGGCGUAGGUGACAGUCUUGAUGCCGCCCCACUUGGCGCGCUGGCUCAUGUCGGCGCCGGGCCCGGUGUUCUCCACCUCGGCGUAGAAGAGGGUCUCGAGGGCGAAGUCGCCGUUCCACUCGAGCCAGCCCUUGGGGUCGAUGAAGGCGCCGAUCUCGUUCUGGAUGUAGAUGGUCCUGGAGUACUCCUUCCAUGGGCGCGCCAGGAUGAGGCAGUUCUGGAUGACCACCUGGGAGUUGCCGAAGAUGAAGUCGAUGGUGCCGGUGAUGGUGCAGUCGCGGAAGAACUGCCGUUGCGCGUGGGUGUAGAGCGUGUCUUGGUACCCGUCGAAGUAGCACUGGUAGAAGACGGCCUGGUCGCUCUGCACCCGCAGCGCCACGGCCUGGUGGUUCUCGGCCCCCGCCGUGUUCUCCACCCUCACGCCCUUCAUGAAGAAGCCGUUCCCGAUCGCCUCUGCAUGCACGCGCGCAUUUCCUCCGUUAUCAGUACAGUUUGUUUUGCUUUGGUUGAUCGUGCGUCUGUGAUGACUUGGUCAAUCUCAAGAUGA
Molecule: ribosomal RNA, 696 nt
Filed under: Triticum aestivum (bread wheat)
Lineage: Eukaryota; Viridiplantae; Streptophyta; Magnoliopsida; Poales; Poaceae
Description: partial small subunit ribosomal RNA
Source: RNAcentral